Non-coding RNA from Gossypium raimondii (Peruvian cotton), 144 nucleotides. NCBI's taxonomy places the organism in Eukaryota, Viridiplantae, Streptophyta, Magnoliopsida, Malvales, Malvaceae. The record is from Rfam.
AAUUAAAAUUUUUAUCCAUUUGUACUGAUAAAAUUGACAUGACUGAUGAAAUAACUAAACAAUAAUACGUGGCGUGCUAUGUUUACCUCAUGUUCACUUAUAGGGACCAGUUUUUAAUAAUAGAAAUGGAUGAAAUUUUUAACA